GGACAGGGGGCUGGGAGGCCAAUCAAUACUUGAACAAUCCUUCUUUAGACUCGGGUUCCCAGGCACCGAGUUGCUGUUUACACAACUGUCCUGAUGUAAUCAUUAAUAGUACCCCAGGCUCAGUGCCUGCGCUGGGGCAGAGAGGGCAGGUCCCCGGGGAUGGUGUUGACAACAAGUGUCUCAAGUAUCCCCAGAGGGAGCGGGCCACAGGGAGGUGGCCGACUGCUGCGCUUAUCACUGAGAACUCUGAAGGCUCCGCAACAGGGAGGGUCUUUUGACAGACGUCAAAAGGCCCUAAAACGGAAAACGCCUGAUAAGCACCCAGGAUCACCCUUAUCAAGGGCCACAGGAAAGGCGCCAGGUUUAAUCUCAAAACCACACCCGGAACCAACGGUUUGGAGACCUCAGGCAGCGCCUCCCACAGACACUCAGGGACUGAGGCUGUCAGCCUGGAGAAUGCCUGAGAGCACUGGGCGGGGACAGUGCAGUUGUCUUCUUCAUCCACAGUUUCCAUAUCCGCAGAUUCAACCAACCAGGAUCAAAGAAAGAGGAGAAGGGGUGGGAAAGAGAAGAAGAAGGAGGAGAAGAAGAGGAGGAGGAGGAGGAGGAGUGGAAGAAGAGGGAAGAAAAAGAAAAAAAAGAAAGAAAAAAACAGCUGGCACAUGCCUGUAAUCACAGUGGUUUGGGAGGCUGAGGCAGGAGGAUCCCAAGUUCAAAAGCCAGCCUCAGCAACUUAGCAAGAUCCUAAACAAGUUAGAAUUAUUCUGUCUCAAAAUGAAAAAUAAAAAGGGCUGACGUUGUGGCUCAGUGGUUAAGUG
Long non-coding RNA from Marmota monax (woodchuck), 818 nucleotides. RefSeq lists it as uncharacterized. Lineage: Eukaryota; Metazoa; Chordata; Mammalia; Rodentia; Sciuridae. The record is from RefSeq and is a predicted model, not a curated record. The transcript has 2 exons.